Molecule: ribosomal RNA, 466 nt
Filed under: uncultured bacterium
Lineage: Bacteria
Description: partial 16S ribosomal RNA
Rfam family: Bacterial small subunit ribosomal RNA
Source: RNAcentral
GACGAACGCUGGCGGCGCGCCUAACACAUGCAAGUCGAACGAGCGAGAGAGAGCUUGCUUUCUCGAGCGAGUGGCGAACGGGUGAGUAACGCGUGAGGAACCUGCCUCAAAGAGGGGGACAACAGUUGGAAACGACUGCUAAUACCGCAUAAGCCCACGGCUCGGCAUCGAGCAGGGGGAAAAGGAGCAAUCCGCUUUGAGAUGGCCUCGCGUCCGAUUAGCUAGUUGGUGGGGUAACGGCCCACCAAGGCGACGAUCGGUAGCCGGACUGAGAGGUUGAACGGCCACAUUGGGACUGAGACACGGCCCAGACUCCUACGGGAGGCAGCAGUGGGGAAUAUUGCACAAUGGGGGAAACCCUGAUGCAGCGACGCCGCGUGGAGGAAGAAGGUCUUCGGAUUGUAAACUCCUGUUGUUGGUGAAGAUAAUGACGGUACCCAACAAGGAAGUGACGGCUAACUACGUG